RNA transcript from Carassius gibelio (silver crucian carp), 6172 nucleotides. It is a transcript of the gene named ectoderm-neural cortex protein 1, with no coding region annotated. The record is from RefSeq and is a predicted model, not a curated record. The transcript has 5 exons. NCBI's taxonomy places the organism in Eukaryota, Metazoa, Chordata, Actinopteri, Cypriniformes, Cyprinidae.
UAUGGAGACUUGCACAGACACACACACACACACACACACACGCGGUGGCGGAGCUGCUGUGUGACGAUACGAACGAAUGUAGUUGUGAACAGUAGUCAUAAAGAUAGAGGAACUGCAGUUGUCUAUGUAAUUCAGCAACAGCAGACCAAACUGUAUUUCUAGGCUGGUUUCUUACGUUAAAAGCAAGUGGAUUCAAAUAUCCUUCAUUUGUUUAUUUUGUGGUUUAUCCACGCGACAUCGGACGCCGUUGCCAGAGCGUUAAACGCCGCCAGUAUUGUGACUCUGCACGCGCCGCUUUGUGGCAUGUUUGAGGGCCAAAGCACACGGAACUGAAGUCCUCAUUCCUCCUGAACAGGAUUCAAUGAAAAUGUCGGUCUGUGUCCACGAGAACCGCAAGUCUCGUGCCAGCACGGGCUCUAUGAACAUCUACCUGUUCCACAAGUCCUCGUAUGCCGACAGCGUGCUAAUGCACCUGAAUGCUCUUCGGCAGCAGAGACUCUUCACCGAUGUUCUGCUUCACGCGGGAAGCCGCUCUUUCCCGUGCCACAGGGCUGUGCUGGCCGCAUGCAGCCGCUACUUUGAAGCCAUGUUCAGCGGAGGGCUGAGAGAGAGUCAGGACAGUGAAGUGGACUUCAGGGACUCCAUUCAUCCAGAGGUAUUGGAGCUCCUUCUGGACUAUGCCUAUUCGUCAAGGGUGAUAAUAAACGAGGAGAACGCGGAGUCUCUCCUUGAGGCCGGUGACAUGCUGGAGUUUCAGGACAUCCGUGAUGCUUGUGCCGAGUUCCUGGAGAAGAACCUUCACCCAUCCAACUGCCUGGGCAUGCUGCUUCUCUCAGAUGCUCACCAGUGCACCCAGCUGUUCCAGCUGUCCUGGAGCAUGUGCCUCAGUAACUUCCCUGCUAUCUGCAAGACUGAAGAGUUUCUCCAGCUGCCCAAGGACAUGCUGGUCCAACUGCUGUCACACGAAGAGCUCGAAACCGAGGACGAGCGUCUGGUCUACGAAUCGGCGCUUAACUGGGUAAACUAUGACCUUGAGAGGAGGCACUGUCACCUUCCGGAGCUGCUCCGUACUGUGCGUCUGGCUCUCCUGCCUGCCAUCUUCCUCAUGGAGAACGUCUCUACGGAGGAGCUCAUCAUUGCACAGGCUAAAAGCAAAGAGCUGGUGGACGAGGCCAUCCGCUGCAAACUGCGCAUCUUGCAAAACGACGGCGUCGUCAAUAGUCCUUGCGCCCGGCCCCGCAAGACCAGCCAUGCCCUUUUCUUGUUGGGUGGCCCCACGUUUAUGUGCGACAAGCUCUACCUGGUGGACCAGAAGGCCAAAGAGAUCAUUCCAAAGGCAGACAUCCCCAGUCCACGCAAAGAGUUCAGCGCCUGUGCCAUUGGCUGCAAAGUGUAUGUGACUGGGGGCCGGGGCUCAGAGAACGGUGUGUCUAAGGACGUCUGGGUGUAUGACACAUUACAAGAAGAAUGGUCCAAAGCGGCUCCGAUGCUGAUCGCACGUUACGGUCACGGUUCCGCUGAGUUACGCCACUGCCUGUACGUCGUUGGAGGUCACACAGCUGCCACUGGCUGUCUGCCUGCAUCACCAUCUGUGUCCUUGAAGCAGGUAGAGCAGUUUGACCCAGUUGCUAAUAAGUGGAGCAUGGUGGCACCACUGCGAGAAGGAGUUAGCAAUGCUGCUGUCGUCAGCGUUAAGCUGAAGUUAUUCGCCUUCGGUGGGACAAGUGUGGCCCAUGACAAGCUGCCUAAAGUUCAGUGCUACGAUCCCUCCGAAAAUCGCUGGGCAGUCCCGGCAUCCUGUCCACAGCCGUGGCGCUACACUGCAGCUGCUGUUCUCGGCAACCAGAUCUUUGUAAUGGGAGGCGACACAGAGUUCUCUGCUUGCUCUGCUUACAAAUUCAGCAGUGAGACUUAUCAGUGGACCAAAGUUGGAGAUGUUACGGCAAAACGAAUGAGCUGCCAAGCGGUGGCCUCUGGAAACAAACUUUAUGUGGUGGGUGGCUACUUUGGUACACAGCGCUGCAAAACCCUAGACUGUUAUGACCCCACGCUGGAUGCAUGGAACAGCAUCACUACCGUACCAUAUUCCUUAAUCCCCACCGCCUUCGUCAGCACCUGGAAACACCUCCCAGCCUGAAGCACGCCUGCUCUCCCCAUGUGACCCUGUUGUUCCUACGAGGUAAUCAGUCUGACUGCAGCAAGAACAGAAUAACCCAUAAUUACUGAUAGAGAGACUCAAACUCCAGGACAGUAGACUAAAUAGAACGAGCACCAACUUAACUUCCUCCUCACUGAAAAUCAAAAACUGAGGCACUCCUUUGCACUCAUUCCAUUCCUGACCCUUUGGAACUGGUCAUUAAGCUUCGCUUUUAAAGUCUCUGUGACCAUGUGCGAGUGAGACGCCGCCCACCUUGACAGGGCAGUUCAUUUCAAAGUGGUGGUCCUGCCUUUGUUCACUGAGCCAUUCCUGUGCAUUUAAAAGACCAUGAAGUGUUCUAAGCAAGCUUCCUCCCUAUCACAAUGAGGAGCCUCACUGCUGGCCAGAGGAGUGGGAGAAGAGAGAAGACCGAGAUGAGGGGAGAGGGGGAGGACUGGAUAAGGGAGGAAUUCUGUGUGUCCAUUUGUCGAUAUUGUCUACUGGAUUCCAACUGUGAAGAAACGCUAUAAGCUUCCUGUGCAAUUUUAUGAAGAGAUUUUCUCCCAUAAGAGCUAACCUAAAUAUUGUGUACAAAGUCCAUUCGCAAAGCUUUUUUUUUUUUUUCCUCCUUGGAAGUUUUAAGUACAUUUGUGAUGUCUCAUCGUUCAUUUUGUGGGGAGUCAGAACUUAGGCUUCACCGUGAAAACCAAAAGAACUGCAACGCACCCUGAAGUCCAGUCUGCUUUCAUCGUAACCAGCAUAAUCAUCAUAUUCGUCCCCCCACGUUUGUGUAAUCGGACCGUUUUUGUACAAUGCUGAUGCCAUGCAAGCUAAAAUAGACCCGUAUGCCUGUCUUAAUUUGUAUAAUGCAUGAAGGAUGAGUGGAAGCUUUUGAUUGGGAGAACAACAAGAGUUUCAACGCAUGAUUGGAGAUGUUAAGAUCCUCCAGGAAAAGUACCUCAUGUCCUGAUAUGUAUCUACCUUUUCUCCCAUGUUGAUGUUAAAAAAUAGACCUUGCUCUGAAGAAAGGCUGAUGUGGACUCUUAAAGGACUGAUAAACAUCACAAGAAGAACAGAAGGAAAUGUGAGCAAGCGUUUUUUAAGUAUUUGUCCUUCACACGUCUGUACGAGGAGGACAGGCUGAUGCUGAACUGUUCCUGUUGAACAGACCUUAGCAGCUUGGUGUGAAAAUGGACACGGGCACAGUGUGUCCCGACGUACACGUGCCAGCUGUGCGUUUGUGACUAAGUGAGUGCGGGAGAGGCAUGUCCCAGCAUGUCCGUCUGACCCCACUCAACACCCAAUCAUACCCCCGCUCCCUCAGAAAUAAACAGCGUGAGCAUGCCAUCUGAGAAAGCCCCAACAAACACUGUCCCUCCAGCUUCUGAUGACUGACCGACAGCAGAUCAGGACAUUUCUCCCGCACAAGAUUUAAACUGUGCAAGACUCUUCUGUUUUGCUGUUUUUUGCCUGUACUAUUCUAAGCACAUACAGUCACAUAAACGUGAACGACAAGAGGGGGAGCGAAAAGAGGUGAGAGUCGUUUCGUCACCCUGCGAGGGAAUGCAGUCUCUAUGGCAACAACAACGAAACUGUAAAUGUAAAAAAAAAGACACAGAAAAAAAAGUGCAAACAACUGGUUGUCUGGCUUCACACAUUAAUAGUCUUAAUUUAUGAUUUUUUUUUAAAGCUGUCUGUUUUGUUUGAUCCAUUGUGUAUUAACAAUAUUUUUUUAUUUAUUGUUAAUUUUUCUACUUGCAUAUAUAUUUGGAUGUGUAGAAGUUGACCGGUUAUUGUACCGCGCAUGGCCCAAAACGCUCUGUGUUCCUGCUGCUCUUUUGCACAUUUACAGAAGGUCAUUUUGACUGAGCAGGUGGAAUUUGUAGUGGUCAGCGGACUCUUGAGCCUCUUGUUCAUCUGAUCAAAAACAGGGAGGCUUGGAGGUCAAAGGUCAUUGACAGGAAUAAGAAUGGGCCGAAUGACGUCAGAGGUUCAGAUUACCCAGGGUGAGCAGGUCAUGGGGGAGUUGGGAAGUUGUUUUGAGAGUUUGGGGCAUAGUUUUCUUCAAAACGGAGGACCAGUUCCCCCAAAAAUGAUGAUUGUCAUCUUGUACUCACUCUCAAAAUUGUCAUUUUUGGGUGAACCAUGCCUUACAAUUUUACCCAAAUGAAUACAGUUCUUUAAGUAAUUGAGAUGUGCUUAAAACAAAGGUCAAUUCAUCUAGUGGUGAUGGUUCUCAACUGUUUGAUAUCUUCUACAAUAUAGAUUGACCUUAAUCCUCCAUCUAAAAUGCAUUACGUUUCGCUUACUAGAACAUUAGGGUAAUUUAGCAAGUGCUUUCGACCUGUGACCCCAUGCCAAACUGGGGCCAGUAUUCACCCUCUGUAACUCUGCUCUGCAUUCAUCACUCUGUCCGUACUGAAACUCAGCCUGACACCGGGUAUCUUUGGGUUGUAAGGGUCCUGUAGAGCUAUCUGAGGAUUGUGAACUGUCACCAGCAUGUUGUAACUUUGACUGUCCCUUAUAGUUCAGCAGUGCUGUUAACAUUAUGAUUGGAUUAGGAAUCUGUCUCAGUCACCUUGCUGGAUGCACUCUUAAAAACAAAGAUUCCAAAAAGGAUUUUUCCCAGUGAUGCCAUAGACGAACCAUUUUGGGUUCUUCAAAGAACUUUUCAAUGGAUACAUUUUUCCAAGAAUCUUAUUUACACUAGAUAUGAAUGAUGUGUUACAACAAAAGCAGAGAGAGCCCAUUAUAAACCGCAAUGCUGUCUUCAGUUAUUGUGACAUGACAGACUAUAAACGUACGCACCUUUAUAUUUCUGACACACUCCAAAUGCUUGUGCUAUUUCUGACAUCAGUACAAAUGGAUUCGGAACUUCUUUUUUUUUUUUUAUUGUUAAUUGUAGACGGCGAACUAUGUAGACGCAGUGUUAGUAUGAAGAACAUUUUAAUAAUCUAAAUAUUAAAGGACCUCAAUACAAAACCUUUUUAAGAGUGGAUGUUGGUUGCUACAGCCUGUGACGUAAAAAGUGAUGAUUUCAUUGGGCAAAUUUAAUGAUGAUGAACAAAAUGGUGUUUGUUAUGAUAAAGCUGAAUCCCAAAGGUCUUGGAAUAACUAACAGUGAUGUCUACAUAAGGGCAAAGACCAUAGUGCUUUCAUGUCGAUGCCAAAUGUGCUUCUUGUAAAGAUGAUCUGUCUGUUUUAAUAUUCACUGCAAAGCAACAACAGUGUUCGGGUAGGUUGUAUAACACCGCUAGCCGUUUGCUACACUAUAGCUGUCGUGACAACACUGCUCUACAUGCUACAAACAAAUUAUAUAGCUUUAAAAAAUAGAAUAUAGUAUUCCAUGCUGUUCAAUUGCACAGCAACGGCAAAGUUGAAGGAAAGCCCUAAGAGAGGAAAACCGGUAGCAAGCAUUCCUCCCACAAACCCUCUCAUCCCCUCCAGGAAAUUCUUGCUUACAAUGUUUCGGUUAGCCUUUAGGGUCUUACACCCCCUUCAUAUUUUACCCCCUCCUUCCCCAUUCCAGAAUACCUUUUCACAGAACACUGCACACUCUGACCUCCAGCCAAUCAAAAACCCUGUUCUGUCCCCCCUCGCAUAACACAGUUGCCACAGCAAUGGUCAACAAUCAUUGCCCCCUCUCCAUUUGAACUAGUAAUAGUCAAGUGUUUUGUUUCCCCUCCUCUCUCCCUCUUGCUCCUUUGCCCUCCCUUCUUCCCGCUCUCCUCCUGCUGAAGUGAAAGACUGAUUCAGAGGUGACUCAUACGCCUGUGUGCAUUUAGAACUCUUAAAAGCUGUAUGCCUUCACGAACAGACGCAUUGCUAAAGCACUGUCAAUGUUGGCCUGUACUGUUGUUUCUGUGGGCGUCAUUUUUCUUUUAAUUUCUGUAUUUGUCGUAUUAGAGAAUUGUAUUGUUAUUUUAUCUCAACCACUGCGGUUAACAUUAUUUUGUACAAGUGAUUUUUUCACAAUGUGAAAUUCAUGGCUAAAUAAAGACAAGAGUUUUUCCUCUUGAGAGAUACCGUAUAAAA